RNAcentral lists this ribosomal RNA (1601 nucleotides) under Plasmodium coatneyi. RNAcentral describes it as "SSU rRNA". It matches the Rfam family "Eukaryotic small subunit ribosomal RNA", at positions 61 to 1439 of the family's 1831-position model. Lineage: Eukaryota; Apicomplexa; Aconoidasida; Haemosporida; Plasmodiidae. The record is from RNAcentral.
AAGUAUAUGCAUAUUUUAUAUGUAGAAACUGCGAACGGCUCAUUAAAACAGUUAUAAUCUACUUGACAUUUUCUAUAUAAGGAUAACUACGGAAAAGCUGUAGCUAAUACUUGCUUUAGCACUCUUGACCCCCGCGUCUUGAGUGUGUACUUGUUAAGCCUUAUAAGAAAAAAGUUAUUAACUUAAGGAAUUAUAACAAAGAAGUAACACGUAAUGGAUUCAUCCAUUUUUAGUGUGUAUCAAUCGAGUUUCUGACCUAUCAGCUUUUGAUGUUAGGGUAUUGGCCUAACAUGGCUAUGACGGGUAACGGGGAAUUAGAGUUCGAUUCCGGAGAGGGAGCCUGAGAAAUAGCUACCACAUCUAAGGAAGGCAGCAGGCGCGUAAAUUACCCAAUUCUAAAGAAGAGAGGUAGUGACAAGAAAUAACAAUACAAGGCCAAUCUGGCUUUGUAAUUGGAAUGAUGGGAAUUUAAAACCUUCCCAAAAUACAAUUGGAGGGCAAGUCUGGUGCCAGCAGCCGCGGUAAUUCCAGCUCCAAUAGCGUAUAUUAAAAUUGUUGCAGUUAAAACGCUCGUAGUUGAAUUUCAAAGGAUCGAUAUUUUAAGUAACGCUUUUAGCUUAAAUCCACAUAACAGACACUUCGUGUCGACUUUGUGCGCAUUUUCGCUAUUAUGUGUUCUUUUAAUUAAAAUGAUUCUUUUUAAAUCUCUAAUAUUUGCUUCGGCAUUUUUGGAGAUUUGUUACUUUGAGUAAAUUAGAGUGUUCAAAGCAAACAGAUAUAGCAUUUGUGCGUUUGAAUACUACAGCAUGGAAUAACAAAAUUGAACAAGUCAAAAUUUUUUGUUCUUUUUUCUUAUUUUGGCUUAGUUACGAUUAAUAGGAGUAGCUUGGGGGCAUUUGUAUUCAGAUGUCAGAGGUGAAAUUCUUAGAUUUUCUGGAGACAAACAACUGCGAAAGCAUUUGCCUAAAAUACUUCCAUUAAUCAAGAACGAAAGUUAAGGGAGUGAAGACGAUCAGAUACCGUCGUAAUCUUAACCAUAAACUAUGCCGACUAGGCUUUGGAUGAAAGAUUUUAAAAUAAGGGUUUUCCUUUCCCUUCGGGGUUAGGACUCUUAGAUUGCUUCCUUCAGUGCCUUAUGAGAAAUCAAAGUCUUUGGGUUCUGGGGCGAGUAUUCGCGCAAGCGAGAAAGUUAAAAGAAUUGACGGAAGGGCACCACCAGGCGUGGAGCUUGCGGCUUAAUUUGACUCAACACGGGAAAACUCACUAGUUUAAGACAAGAGUAGGAUUGACAGAUUAAUAGCUCUUUCUUGAUUUCUUGGAUGGUGAUGCAUGGCCGUUUUUAGUUCGUGAAUAUGAUUUGUCUGGUUAAUUCCGAUAACGAACGAGAUCUUAACCUGCUAAUUAGCGGCAAAUACGAUAUAUUCUUCUGUGGAACUGAAUAUAGUGGAUUUGUUAAAUUUUGAAGAAAAUAUUGGAAUUACUAAUCGUUUUUCCUUUCCCUUUUCUACUUAAUUUACUUAUCCUACUAUUUCUUUUUCGCAUUUGAAUGUAUUUGCUUGAUUGUAAAGCUUCUUAGAGGAACGAUGUGUGUCUAACACAAG